RNAcentral lists this long non-coding RNA (984 nucleotides) under Saimiri boliviensis boliviensis (Bolivian squirrel monkey). RNAcentral describes it as "lncRNA (ENSSBOG00000036711.1)". The record is from RNAcentral. Lineage: Eukaryota; Metazoa; Chordata; Mammalia; Primates; Cebidae.
CCAGGUCUCCAGCUGGGGUGGACGAGCCCACCAGCCACCGAAGGCCAGGACGCCAGGUCCGGCGGACGUGCGGAGAGGGACAUGACAUGGUCCGGAGUGACGGCGAGGACAGAGGAGGCGCGUCCGGCCUUCCUGGACAUCUUCAGCUGGCGGAGCAGGCUGCGGCAAGAGGCGGGUCUCUUCCUUGACUUCCCCGACGGGGUCGGCACACUACUGCCGGUCUUUGGAUUCCCAGAACCCACACAAUGCAAGAAAUGGUGCUACCCAGCUCACGCCUGGGCCUUUGAAUCCGGAAACGUCUGCAAGUACCUCUCACUGAUAACAGGAAUACUGCACUUUAAACCACUGCACACCCUCACUCAGGAAUCGGCCCCAGAAGGUGAAGCUGAAGGAACGAGACCUCAUCAACCCAACACCAAAGACGCCAUCGGAACAGCGGCGCCCGCAGCACCCACCCCCCGCCAGCGACUCCAUCUUCGUGGCCACCCCCUGCCGUGGACAGUUGACCACCAGCCACUACGUCAUCCCAGCGCUGAGCUCCUCCAGCGGGAUGACCCCGUCCCACCACCUCCCUCUUCUUUUUCUUCAUCCUCCUAUCUCUUUGCUUCGACCUUUCCUGUCUUUCUUCCUGAGAGACUCGAAGCCUCCCAGCUCCGUCCCCCGCCCCUUCUGAAUUCAUUUGCACUAAGUCGUUUGCACUGGUUGGAGCUGUGUAGACGGCCUUGAGUCUCCGUGUGAGUGUGUGUGUGAGUGAGAGCCACCUUGGCAAGUGCCCGCCCGGGGCCCAGGCGCCCUCCAACUGGGCCGGGGGACCGGGUGCGGGUCGUGUGCGUGAGGCCUCGCCCACCCUCACCGAGUCUGGAGCAUUUCAUUACGCCCUAUCUCGCUCCGUGCCCCUCCCUACCAGGGCUUCAGCAGGAGCCCUGGACUCAUUAUCAAUAAACUCUGUUACAUCAACUUGUCUCGGGGUCUUUGGAAUCUGGG